GACGAACGCUGGCGGCGUGCUUAACACAUGCAAGUCGAACGAGAGGACAAGAGAAGCUUGCUUCUUUUGGAAUCGAGUGGCAAACGGGUGAGUAACACGUAAACAACCUGCCUUCAGGAUGGGGACAACAGACGGAAACGACUGCUAAUACCGAAUACGCUUGGGAGACCGCAUGAUCUACCAAGGAAAGGGUGGCCUCUACCUGUAAGCUAUCGCCUGAAGAGGGGUUUGCGUCUGAUUAGGCAGUUGGUGAGGUAACGGCCCACCAAACCUACGAUCAGUAGCCGGUCUGAGAGGAUGAACGGCCACACUGGAACUGAGACACGGUCCAGACUCCUACGGGAGGCAGCAGUGGGGAAUCUUCCGCAAUGGGCGAAAGCCUGACGGAGCAACGCCGCGUGAGUGAUGACGGCCUCGGGUUGUAAACUGCUUUAUAAGGGUAAGUAAAGUAGGGAGUCGU
This 460-nucleotide ribosomal RNA is filed under the name uncultured bacterium. RNAcentral describes it as "bacterial SSU rRNA". It matches the Rfam family "Bacterial small subunit ribosomal RNA", at positions 28 to 463 of the family's 1533-position model. The record is from RNAcentral.